AGCUUUGCACAGUGGCAGUAUCGUAGCCAAUGAGGUUUAUCCAAGGCUCGAUUAUUGCUAAUUAAAGUUUAGUGAUAAAAAUAUGUGAAUUUAAAAUGUCAAGAUUGAGGCCACAUUUGUAAAAUGUGUACUUUUUUCCCAAUGAAUUUUGGCAAAUAUAGAACAUAUA
Molecule: small nuclear RNA, 169 nt
Filed under: Moschus moschiferus (Siberian musk deer)
Lineage: Eukaryota; Metazoa; Chordata; Mammalia; Artiodactyla; Moschidae
Description: U4 spliceosomal RNA (ENSMMSG00000024270.1)
Rfam family: U4 spliceosomal RNA (bases 1-134)
About the family: U4 small nuclear RNA (U4 snRNA) is a component of the major U2-dependent spliceosome.
Source: RNAcentral